UAGGGAAUAUUGGGCAAUGGGCGAAAGCCUGACCCAGCAACGCCGCGUGAAGGAAGAAGGUCUUCGGAUUGUAAACUUCUGUUGUAAGGGAAAAAUAAAGUGAUGGUACCUUACGAGGAAGCUACGGCAAACUAUGUGCCAGCAGCCGCGGUAAUACAUAGGUAGCAAGCGUUAUCCGGAAUAACUGGGCGUAAAGGGAGUGUAGGUGGCGAUGUAAGUGAGAUGUGAAAGACCGUGGCUCAACCACGGAACUGCAUUUCAUACUGCAUUGCUAGAGGAUGAUAGAGGUAAACGGAAUUUCUAGUGUAGCGGUAAAAUGCGUAGAGAUUAGGAAGAACACCAGAGGCGAAAGCGGUUUACUAGAUCAUAACUGACACUGAGGCUCGAAAGCGUGGGGAGCAAACAGG
Molecule: ribosomal RNA, 407 nt
Filed under: uncultured prokaryote
Also listed under: 1 other name
Description: bacterial SSU rRNA
Rfam family: Bacterial small subunit ribosomal RNA
Source: RNAcentral